Molecule: long non-coding RNA, 243 nt
Organism: Trachymyrmex septentrionalis
Lineage: Eukaryota; Metazoa; Arthropoda; Insecta; Hymenoptera; Formicidae
Exons: 3
Source: RefSeq, a predicted model, not a curated record
GAGUUGGAUAAUAAAGAGCAUGGAAAGCCAUCGAAAAAAUUUGAAGAUGCACAAUUGGAAGCAUUGCUUGACGAAGAUGUAUGUCAAAAAAAAAAAAAUUGGCAACAGCAUUAAAUGUUACCCAACAAUGCAUUUCCUUAUGUCUGCAUGCAAUGGGAAUAGUUCAAAAGCAAGGAAAUUGGGUGCCACACGAAUUGAAAGAAAGAGACGAAAGAAAAACCAUGUGUGAAUUGUUGCUGUAAC